GGUUUUGGUCGCCCUGAGAAGGGCGCCAAGAGGGAAUCAGGUGCAAGUCCUGAGCAGUCCCGCUGCUGUGAGCCUCAAUAGGUUACACAUCCAACGAGCCACUGUGCGCCGCCAUAGGCGUAUGGGAAGGCGGAUGUGUAGGAGGCAAGCCAGAAGACCUGCCAAAGCCG
This 170-nucleotide non-coding RNA is filed under the name bovine gut metagenome. The record is from RNAcentral.